This 1474-nucleotide ribosomal RNA is filed under the name uncultured Bordetella sp. Its description in RNAcentral is "partial 16S-23S ribosomal RNA intergenic spacer". It matches the Rfam family "Bacterial small subunit ribosomal RNA". The record is from RNAcentral. Lineage: Bacteria; Pseudomonadati; Pseudomonadota; Betaproteobacteria; Burkholderiales; Alcaligenaceae.
GGUUUGAUCCUGGCUCAGAUUGAACGCUGGCGGGAUGCUUACACAUGCAAGUCGGAAUGCAGUACGGACUUUGGUCCGGUGGCGAGCGGCGAACGGGUGAGCAAAUGUAUCACCGGAACGUGCCUAGUAGCGGGUGUAUAACGAUGCGCAAAAGCGUAGCCAGGUCGCGGAGCAUUGCUCUUCCGGGGAAAGCGGGGACCCCGGGCCUCGGUGCGCACCAUUAGAGCGGCCGGAUAUCGGAUUAGCCAGUUGGUGGGUAACGGCUCACCAAGGCGAUGAUUCCGUAGCUGGUUUGAGAGGACGACCAGCCACACGGGGACUGAGACACGGCCCAGACUCCUACGGGAGGCAGCAGUGGCACUUCGACAAUGGGGAAAACCCGAUCCAGCCAUCCCGCGUGCACGAUGAAGGCCUUCGGGUUGGGAAGCACUUUUUGGCAGGAAACGGCACGAUAAUACUACCUGCAACUGACGGUACCUGCAGAAUAAGCACCGGCUAACUACGUGCCAGCAGCCGCAGUAAUACGUAGGGUGCAAGCGUUAAUCGGAAUUACUGGGCGUAAAAGGUGCGCAGGCGGUUCGGAAAGAAAGAGAACUGAAAGCUAAUCUUUGGAACCAUUUGCAACUACCGAGCUAUAGAGCGUGUUGAGUGGAGGUGAAUUCCGCGCGUGUAGCAGUGAAAUGCGUAGAUAUGCGAGAGAAACACCGACACACGAAGCAGUAGCCUCCCUGGGAUAACACUGACGUCGACACGCAGCGUAAGUAAACAGGAUUAGAUACCUCUGGUGAAUCCACGCUCAAAUGAUGUCAACUUAGGCUGUUGGGGCUCAUUCUGGUAGCGCAAAGAUCGCGGUGAAGUUGACCGCCUGGGGAGUACGGUCGCAAGAUUAAAACCUGGUGACCGAUGUGGACCGCACAAGCGGUGGAUGAUGCGGGGAUUAAUUCGCAGAUGCAACGCGAAAAACCUUACCUACCCUGAUAUGUCUGAAUCCCGAAGAGAUUUGGGAGUGCUCGCAAGAGAACCGGAACACAGGUGCUGCAUGGCUGUCGUCAGCUCGUGUCGUGAGAUGUUGGGUUAAGUCCCGCGAGCGCAACCUGUCAUUAGUUACGAAAGCGGCACUCUAAUGAGACUGCCGGUGAUAAAACCGGAGGAAGGUGGGGAUGACGUCAAGUCCCGGUGGCUCUCAGGGUAGGGCUUCACACGUCAUACAAUGGUCGGAUGAGGUCACAACCCGCGAGGGGGAGCCAAUCCCAGAAACCCGAUCGUAGUCCGGAUCGCAGUCUGCAACUCGACUGCGUGAAGUCGGAAUCGCUAGUAAUCGCGGAUCAGCAUGUCGCGGUGAAUACGUUCCCGGGUCUUGUACACACCGCCUGUCACACCAUGGGAGUGGGUUUUACCAGAAGUAGUUUGCCUAACCGUAAGGAGGGCGAUUACCACGGUAGGAUUCAGACUGGGUGAAGUCGUAACAAGGUAG